UUUAAAUGGCCGCAGUAUAUUAACUGUGCAAAGGUAGCAUAAUCAUUAGUCUUUUAAUUGAAGGCUGGUAUGAAUGGUUGGACGAGAUAUUAACUGUUUCAUUAAUAUUUAUAAUAGAAUUUUAUUUUUUAGUCAAAAAGCUAAAAUAAAAUUAAAAGACGAGAAGACCCUAUAAAUCUUUAUAUUUAAAUUAUUAGAAUUUUUAAGAUUUUUUUUGUUAUAAUAAUUAAUAAUAUUUUAUUGGGGUGAUAUUAAAAUUUGAUAAACUUUUAAUAAUUUUUAUUCAUUAAUUUAUGAAUAGUUGAUCCGUUAUUAACGAUUAAAAAAAUAAGUUACUUUAGGGAUAACAGCGUAAUUUUUUUGGAGAGUUCAUAUCGAUAAAAAAGAUUGCGACCUCGAUGUUGGAUUAAGAGAUAGGUUUAGGUGUAGCUGCUUAAAUUUUAAGUCU
RNAcentral lists this ribosomal RNA (448 nucleotides) under Villegasia postuncinata. RNAcentral describes it as "partial 16S ribosomal RNA". RNAcentral also lists the same sequence under 1 other name. Lineage: Eukaryota; Metazoa; Arthropoda; Insecta; Diptera; Sarcophagidae. The record is from RNAcentral.